This 253-nucleotide ribosomal RNA is filed under the name uncultured bacterium. RNAcentral's name for it is "partial 16S ribosomal RNA". It matches the Rfam family "Bacterial small subunit ribosomal RNA", at positions 524 to 776 of the family's 1533-position model. The record is from RNAcentral.
UACGUAGGUGGCGAGCGUUGUCCGGAUUUACUGGGCGUAAAGGGAGCGUAGGCGGACUUCUAAGUGAGAUGUGAAAUACUCGGGCUCAACUUGGGUGCUGCAUUUCAAACUGGAAGUCUAGAGUGCAGGAGAGGAGAAUGGAAUUCCUAGUGUAGCGGUGAAAUGCGUAGAGAUUAGGAAGAACACCAGUGGCGAAGGCGAUUCUCUGGACUGUAACUGACGCUGAGGCUCGAAAGCGUGGGGAGCAAACAGG